UACGUAGGCAGCAAGCGUUGUUCGGAAUUACUGGGCGUAAAGAGUGUGUAGGCGGUGCUCUAAGUCUGUUGUGAAAUCUCCCGGCUUAACUGGGAGGGUGCGGCGGAGACUGGAGUGCUAGAGUGUGGGAGAGGUAAGCGGAAUUCCUGGUGUAGCGGUGAAAUGCGUAGAUAUCAGGAGGAACACCGAUGGCGAAGGCAGCUCACUGGGACGGUACUGACGCUGAGACGCGAAAGCGUGGGGAGCAAACAGG
This 253-nucleotide ribosomal RNA is filed under the name uncultured bacterium. RNAcentral describes it as "partial 16S ribosomal RNA". It matches the Rfam family "Bacterial small subunit ribosomal RNA", at positions 524 to 776 of the family's 1533-position model. The record is from RNAcentral.